Long non-coding RNA from Cyclopterus lumpus (lumpfish), 244 nucleotides. RefSeq lists it as uncharacterized. Lineage: Eukaryota; Metazoa; Chordata; Actinopteri; Perciformes; Cyclopteridae. The record is from RefSeq and is a predicted model, not a curated record. The transcript is spliced from 3 exons.
CUCAUAUUCAUGAACAAACAAGAUACAGAUGCUCCUCUUUCACGUGAUCAAAGUCUUGUUUUUCUGUAUGAAGCUGUCCGUGUUGCUGCUGUUGGCCCUGCCGGCUUUGUGCACUGCAUCAGCCCUCUUGCUGGACCCAGGUCUGGGGGGCAGGGUUCCUAAUAUCACUGCUAACAGAUCUACAAGUCAAGCUCUUCCAACUCUUGUCAAGAUUAAGAACACACUCGACCGGUAUGUUUUGGAA